RNAcentral lists this transfer RNA (74 nucleotides) under Lyciasalamandra billae. RNAcentral's name for it is "tRNA-Leu". It matches the Rfam family "tRNA". From Rfam's summary of the family: Transfer RNA (tRNA) molecules are approximately 80 nucleotides in length. Their secondary structure includes four short double-helical elements and three loops (D, anti-codon, and T loops). Further hydrogen bonds mediate the characteristic L-shaped molecular structure. tRNAs have two regions of fundamental functional importance: the anti-codon, which is responsible for specific mRNA codon recognition, and the 3' end, to which the tRNAs corresponding amino acid is attached (by aminoacyl-tRNA synthetases). tRNAs cope with the degeneracy of the genetic code in two manners: having more than one tRNA (with a specific anti-codon) for a particular amino acid; and 'wobble' base-pairing, i.e. permitting non-standard base-pairing at the 3rd anti-codon position. Lineage: Eukaryota; Metazoa; Chordata; Amphibia; Caudata; Salamandridae. The record is from RNAcentral.
GUUAAGGUGGCAGAGCCAGGUAAUUGCAAAAGACUUAAGCCCUUUAAAUCAGGGGUUCAAUUCCUCUUCUUAAC